Molecule: ribosomal RNA, 453 nt
Filed under: uncultured bacterium
Lineage: Bacteria
Description: bacterial SSU rRNA
Rfam family: Bacterial small subunit ribosomal RNA
Source: RNAcentral
GAUGAACGCUGGCGGCGUGCUUAACACAUGCAAGUCGAGCGAAGCACUUAAGUUUGAUUCUUCGGAUGAAGACUUUUGUGACUGAGCGGCGGACGGGUGAGUAACGCGUGGGUAACCUGCCUCAUACAGGGGGAUAACAGUUAGAAAUGACUGCUAAUACCGCAUAAGACCACGGUACCGCAUGGUACAGUGGUAAAAACUCCGGUGGUAUGAGAUGGACCCGCGUCUGAUUAGGUAGUUGGUGGGGUAACGGCCCACCAAGGCGACGAUCAGUAGCCGACCUGAGAGGGUGACCGGCCACAUUGGGACUGAGACACGGCCCAAACUCCUACGGGAGGCAGCAGUGGGGAAUAUUGCACAAUGGGGGAAACCCUGAUGCAGCGACGCCGCGUGAGCGAAGAAGUAUUUCGGUAUGUAAAGCUCUAUCAGCAGGGAAGAAAAAAAUGACGGUAC